RNAcentral lists this long non-coding RNA (1277 nucleotides) under Lupinus angustifolius (narrow-leaved blue lupine). RNAcentral's name for it is "long non-coding RNA (LANG_LNC001185)". The record is from RNAcentral. Lineage: Eukaryota; Viridiplantae; Streptophyta; Magnoliopsida; Fabales; Fabaceae.
UUCUUCUAUUUCCAAUGAGGUAGGUAUAUAAAUGAAUGCAUUAGGGAGAAAGUUGGAGUAGCUCCUAUGGUGGAAAAUAUAGUAGAAUUGUGUCUUAGGUGGUUUGAACAUGUGUGGAGUAGACCUUUAGAAGCCCGUAGGAAUAGUAGAUCAGAUGGAAGCUAGCCCAAUUUGUAGGAAGAGGGAAACAAAAAAACUACAUGGGAAAUGAUAAAGAAGACUCGUCAAUGUUUUGUCAAUGACCAUGAUAUGAUAGAGCAUUGCGACAUUGUUCUCCAUCUAGUGGGUUAAAGGUUUGGUUGUUGUAUGCAUGAUGAGGUAGGUAGCUAUGGCUUUUAAUGAAGUCAAGUUUUUCAUAUGUAACUUUUUGAAGAAACAAUAGAUUCUUGAACUCGGCCCUCCAAAAUAACAUAUUGUAUUUCCUUGGCCUCAUUGCAAAAUAUUAUAGCUCCACUUUUGUGAGAGGCAGUUUGUUUGGUAUUCCAUUAAAAUCAGAAUGUAAAACCCAGAGAUCAUUUUCUCAUCUCAUAUAAAGCUCAUUUGUGAAAACUUUCACCCCCACUUGGAACACCAAGCUCAUUCUGAAUAGUAGGAAAUUGCUUGAAGGUAUUUCUGCAUUUUAGGAACUUGUCAAUAUAGCCACACUCCAUUGCGUGGGAAUAUGUUUCCAUUUGAGUGUAUAUAUUUAUAAGACAAACCUACAAGGCUACAAUUAUAUUGGAAAGUGAUAAAACCAACACCUUUCUCACUUUUACACUCCCUUGCUUAAUCACUUUGAACUACCAUGUCUUCUGCUAUCUUCUCAUUGAGUAUUUUCAAUCUGUUUCGAAGUUCGUAGGCCUAAGCAGCUUUCAUAUUUUAAUUAAUGGGCAUUCAAUCUAUUGUACACUGUCACUCCUGUCUUAUAAAUUUCAAUUUGCUACUAUGAAAUUCUAAACUUUCAGCUCUGUUUAAUUACCAGGUUAGAGAGCCCAUAUUUGGGAAGAAGGCACGGUCUGAAUUUGCAUAUUCAUGGAACAAAGCUGUGGAUCAGAAAUUUGGACCUUUGAUAAAGUCUUUCAGCUCACGUGAAUUGUAGAAUGUUUUGGAUGAUAUCGGUUGAAUACUGAUACUUCAACAUUUGUAAUUGUACUAUCAAAACAAACAAUACUUGGCCUUACUUUUACCUUCACAUUGUUAAAUUUUUGUGCACAAUGGUAGUGCUGCUGACUAGGCAUGAAGACCAAUGUACUGUGUUCUUAAAUACUCAGAUGUUUUGCUUCAAUAUGUGCACCAAG